This 39617-nucleotide long non-coding RNA is filed under the name Lupinus angustifolius (narrow-leaved blue lupine). RNAcentral describes it as "long non-coding RNA (LANG_LNC002008)". The record is from RNAcentral. Lineage: Eukaryota; Viridiplantae; Streptophyta; Magnoliopsida; Fabales; Fabaceae.
AAGGAAGUAUUUGGCGGCAUCACCCGUGAAAUCUGGGUGGCCUGAACCAAGAUUCUUUCAUUGUCAUCUGCACAAAUCAUUGCACAUUUACUCCUCAAAUAUAAUACCAUAGUUAAAAAGUUAUUCACCUAAAUCGAUAUGAUCUGAUUAGUUUCAUCUCAUCUCAAGAGACGAGUUUUUUUUGUUAAAUUUGAAUUUCCUUUAGAGUAAGUGGACCUGGGCUUUUUGACAUGGUCAAGAACAAGAAUGACUGAAAUUUGGAGUAGGAUCAUUCUGUAGAUAAAAAAGAAUUUAAUUUACAUUCUACAGUUAACUAUUCUAAAAUCCGUCCGUCCGUUCAUUCUUUAUUUUUAGUUUUUCUUUUCAAAGCUAAAAUAGGGUUUUACUGUUUUAAGGCAUGGUCAAACUUUUUUCAAUUUUAUUCAUAUUCGAUAACUAUAUAUAUUAUUAAUUAAGUCUUUUUUUUUUCAUUUAGUGAUAAUUUUUAAUUAUUCUCAAUAUUUUAGAAUUUAGACAUAAAGUUUUAUACACUGUCAGUAUAUCAUUUAUCAUUAUAUUUAGUUAUUGUUUACCUCUUCAAAAAAGUAAUACAAAUAAAUGAUGAAUGAUGUAUUAUUUGUAUAUGAAUCCUUACAUUAAAAUUGUAUAAAUAUUACUCUUGAUAUAUUAUAUAUAUUAAACAAUUGACAUAAGUUAAAAUUAAUAACAGUGUCAUGUUUUUUAUUACUUGUCAUUAAGGGACUCUAACAACGUUGACAUAGUUUCGCGUUUUCUCCAGUCUCGUCGUUGUCGAUGUCUUCCGAUCCUUUCACCUUGGCCACUCACAUCGAUAUAUUUAUUUGUUACAUAUUCCGGCAACCCAUUUUAAUUUUGCUAUUUUUAUUAGCAAGUGGAUAGAUAAACUCCAUUGAAAACUUUUUAUGAUAACUUCAUUUAUAUUUUUCAAUAUAUCUUUACAACUUAGCCAUUUAUGUUUAUCUAGAACAUGAACCAUGGCUAUUUCUAUUCUUCUGGAUUUCGUAAUUAAACAUCACCAGAGCAAUACUUGCAAAAUCCAAUUUCGGAAAGUUUUGCUCUAUAAGCUCACAUGGUGUGACUCUACAAGAGUUUUGGUCUAACAGGAUCUGAACUUUCGUAUACGUCCAAAAGCUAACUACCUUUUUUACCUUAUUGGCUAAGUGAUUUGAUUGAACAAUCUUGAUCAUUCCAUUCUAUUUUUUCCUUAUCUUCUUCCCUGCCUAGAAAGUGAUGCAAUACAGUUCCCUCAUUUUUGGAAAUAUUUUCCUCCUUUAUGUCAGUGAAUACCUUAUAUCAUCUUUGCUGAACCUGAAUCUUCACAUGACAAAAUGAGCAUUCAUUUAUUAUUUUCGUUCCUCUCCUUUCCAUAGUAGUAAUUGACAAUUUGGAACUGUAGCGGAUUUCAUUUCUAGCCUAUAACCUUCAAUUGACCUAGAUAGUAGCUACAUUUUUUUCUUUUUAGUAAUUAAAUUAGUUCUGAUUAAAAAAAAUUAUUAUUACAUUACAAAAUCAUUUUUUAAGCUAAUCAAUUAGCUUAAUUAUUUCACGAAAAUAAGUUACUCUGUAAUGAUUGAUAAAUAAACAUAUUUUUUUGUAUAACAAAUGAUAUAGCUUGAUCUUAUAGACAUAGAACUAAUUUUUAUAGGGUAGUGUCGCUUCUAGAAAUUGAAUCUUUAACUUUUUGAUUCAUAUAAAAUCCAAUUAAGCCUUAUGUCACUAGACCAAUGUAUUAUUGGUUAAAUAAACUUAGUUUAGUACACCUUAGUUUAUAAGUUCCAAUUUGAUAACAUAGUAUAAAUAAGUUAGAAGUUAUAACUUUAUCUUAUUUUACACAUCACAUAAUUUGUUAGCUAAUUUUUAUAUAAUUCUAAUUCAGCUUUUAGUUUAUAAUAGUAAAAACUUAUUUAUGCCAAAGAAAAUCAGAGUCGAUUGAGUGAGCUUUGCUAACAUUGGGUAAUGGUCUUAGAAAAUUUAGUAAUCAUAAGUGCAGAUGAUGUUGUAUUUUGUGCAGUGCAUAUCCCUGCGAUAUGCUGGUCAAGAUUUGCUUGUCCCACACAUUAACUAUGAAAUAAUUAAAAUGAUAUAUGAUAUCUACAUCAUGGUUCAUGCAUGUAACCAUCAGACGUAUACACAUAUGAUUCUCCACGAUCCCAGUAAGAAAAACAGUAUCACUUGACAAUUAUAUGCGGACAACCUGAAAAGACAAAUAUUAAGGUUUUGUCGUGAUGACUAGUUCGAUGGAUCAGUAAACAAUGUCCUACAUCUUUAUGAUGCUCUCGAUUUUCUGAAUGAAAAAUUGAUUGUUCUAGCAAUUCUAUGAUUGUAACCAAAUAAAUAUAAAAGACAAUGUAACUGUGAUUCAGCUGGUUAUAUGUCGGGGUACGUUUCAUGAUUCAUGUAAUGUAAUGUUUUAACUAAGUUCAGAUUCAUAGAAAGCAUUAUUGAUUUUCUACUGUUGGUAUAGAAGUCUUUGAAGGGAAAAAAUUAAACUAUUGACCACUACUCAUAUUGUUUUGGAAACCGUAUCAUCUUUGAUUUUUUCCUAUCUUUUUCUGAUGAUUUUGAAGCUUCAUAAAAAGAAGAAAAAUUAAAGUUGUAAUACCUGCUACAAAUUCAAAAGAAUUUAUUUGAUGAAAAAAACUGUUGAGUGAUAAAGUCUCUACUAGUAUAACAGUAUAGUGGGGUUCAAUACAAUUAGUGUCUUUCCGUAACUUCCUUUUUUGUUUAAAAAAAGGUGGCAUUGAAGAGUGCUAUUACAUGUACCCAAUAUAAGGAAAAAAAGAAAGAAUGUUGAUUUCUGUACCAUACAGCUAAAAAGGAGCCAUUAACUAAAUCCUUCAUCCAAAUAGAAUCAGAACAAAUAUUUGUAACUACAAGCAUCAAUCAUAUAAUAAAAAGGGCGGCAUUCAGAAACUUUCUUUUGAAGCAAGUUUAGGUAUCUUGUUGGUAGAUAAGGAACCCAUAUUUAUUGUCUCAAAUCAUGUCUCAUAUUUUGUUCUCUACCAAUAAAAAUAUGUCAGGCUAAUUAUUAUUGAGCAUGACAAUGUAUGAGAUAAGAUUUGGGAUAACAAAUCUUUGUUUGUUUAUAGAUAAUACCACUAGUGGUUUGUAAGCCAAUUCAAGAAAAAAAUAAUACUAACAUCAUUACUCCUUAAAGCAACAAAGUUUUAAACCUAGUUUUCUAAUGAUGAUUAGGGCCAUUACAAUUUCGUUUUAGCCAUCUCUGCAAUCGAAUCACAAUUGCAUUUGUAACUUCACAACAUUUUCAUGCAAUACUGCACAAUUACAAUAAAGUCAAUCUAACCUUGAAGGGGGUCACAAUUUAAUAUUGUGCUAAUGUAAGAAAAUAUUGAAUAAUUAAGGCUUGAGGAUUUGGUAAAAAAUUAAUUGAUCAUGAUUGUGACUCCAUGCCUUCCAUAACGUACUUUUGGGCAAAGUCUAUGUUUUGCCCCCACUAUAUACUCUUUUUCAGUUCAUAAUAGAAUCAAAGUGGCUACUGUAUUAUAGUACCACACCCUUGACACUUUUUGAACUGUAUCUUAGCCUUUUAUAUGUUACUUAGAAGGUUGCUGACAAAUCAAGCUAAUAGCAAUCUUGCAACAUCUUUGAAAAGCAGCAAACUACUGUUGGAUCACUACUUCUCUGAUUGAUGCUGCUUUUAGUUGGUAAUAUAAUCCGAUCCAAUAUGGACAGGGAUAGUGGGUGUUAUUUUGUUUGGCCUGUGAUAUGAGCAAAAAAGUUAAGGAGUUGAAUACAAGUGGAUACAGCUAUGCUAAGUCUUGUGAUUGGUGCCAUACUAUGUUUUUUGUUCUGAUUCAUUUGUUCUACAUCAUCGAAGUUCACAAUUUGGGUCUUUGUUGUUUCACCAUAUCUAACUUUGUUGACUCACUAAUGGCUGAAGGGCCAUCUAGUACAUUCAUUCAUGAUCAGUUUAAAUACUAUAUAUGGGAGGCAGAAUAUUACUGAAUAUUGAGUAAUUAUGACGUUAAUUAAUAUAAGCUAUGUUUGAUUAUACAGGAACAAAAGGACAAUAGUCCUACUGUACUGAUGUUCAGAAGAGGAAUGGUUGGAUAAUUAAAUAAAUAAAAGAAAAGAAAAUAUUGAAAAUGAUAGAUUGGACAGUCAUGUGAUGAUUUUGAUUGAGAGAUGAAGGCUCUAUUCUUUGACAAUAAAUUUACCGGCACUGAAUUAAAUAUCCGCAGAAGUUUGUGACGGUAUCAUGGUUGCAAUCCUCGAAAUAUAUACCAAACAAAUUCUUGAAAACUACACAACAGGGGUACUUGUACUUAAUAAAAAAUAGCUGUGUUAAACUUGAUUUGAUCUUAAUCCUAUAAUAGCACUUCGCUUAUGUAUUAGUUGUACUGUCUCCACUUCCUGAUACACAUCUUCACAAGUAUAACAUAUAGGUAGAAUCAAAUAAGUACAAAACACAUCGCAUGAACUUAAUUAACUAACUCACAUCGAGAUAAAUAAUUGCAUAUUUGGUAAAAGUAAUUCACGAGAGCAUACUUAGAAAAAUCAUAUAAAUUAAAACUAUGGUGGCUAAGCAUUAGACUCACUUGAUUUUAGGGAUGGAACUACCGUAUAAUUAUAUUUAAGGAUAAAAGUGUUACUUAACACUAUUUUUUUUCUUUUGAUUUUGAGGUACUUCUUUCUUCAGUAAUAGAUAAGAUCCUCACCAGGUGAUUAAGUGCCUUAAAACAACAUAUAUUUAAAUUAAUUUUUGAAUUAAAUAUGUACUAUUCAUUCUAGCAAUCAUAGCUCCAGUAAUGACUUCUGCCGUAUGGAGAGGAUUUGUUCUCUAAGACUUCCAUCUAUUUUGAUUUGAGAAGGAUAAUUAUACUUGAACGAAAAUCAUAAGAGGAUAAUAAAAAUACUAAGAGUAAUAUUGCUACUAUGACAUCAUAUUUCUCUCACUCAAUUAAUUUGAAUCAUAUUAGGAGAUUCAUGUAAAAGAUUUUUUUAUUUAUAUUUAUCUUACUCAGGGAACCAAACCUCUUGCGAUGCAUUUAUAUUAUUACAAUUGACACAAGAAAAAUAAAAUAAGUUUCUUAAUUACAAACUUUAGAGAUAUUGUUGAUGAAGAAAGCGAAUGACAGUGUUAUCAAUUUAUUUGAGUUGGUUCCUUAAUUAUAAGUUAGAACUUAGAAACUAUAAAAGCAAAUAAGAGAGAUUAAAAAUAGCACUGAACAUUAUGAAAGUUGGAUUGUGAAAGCAAAAAUGAAUUAAGCUGGCCUGAAUCUCUGCUUGCAAGAAUGGCAAGUUAUCUCCAUGCACGUAGAAUCCAUUUGCCUUGUGGCCAUUUCUUUCAUUCUCUCAGCACGUUCCACUUCCUCUCUCGCUCUCUCCCACAUUUCCCUCGCUCUCGAGAACUCCGACUGCGCCAUCUCCAUCUCCCUCCGUGUCAGUUCUCUCACUCUUUCAGCGUACGCCUUCUCCAUCGCCGCUAGCCUGAUUUGCUCCGCCGCUUCCCACUUCAGAGCCUCCACCAUCGCCGGCGGACCGACGCUGAUCGACAGCUGGAGGUCCAGGGAGGGACCGGUUUCCGUUGUGGUCGAUGAUCGCAACCGGAGAAGGGAGGAAUCGGCGGCGUGGGAACGUGGUGAAGGUAGAAGGUCGAGUUCUUUGUUGUGUUGGUUUUCCAUUUGAAUUGAAUUGAGGAAAGAAGAGAAAAAGGGAGAAGGAGAGGAAUGAGUACGGUAAUGAGGGAACUGGGAAGAUGAGGAAAAUUGCUUUUGACAGGGUAAUGGCAAGUGAUUGUUUUUUGGAUUCUGAACCACCGUAGGUUUAUAUAACGAACUUCACGUGAUUAAAAUACCAUUUUGCCCUUUUGUUCUGUUCAACAUUGUUUAGAAAGAAAAAAAAGAAAAGUUCUACAUACUUUUUGAAAGGAAAAUAUUUAGUUCCAAAUGAAUAAAAUUAGUGACGAUUUACAUGGAUAUUAGUCACCUUUUUUAAUUGCAACUUUAUUUUAAUAUUAUUAUAUGAAAAACAUUUUUGAAAAAAUUGGCAAUUAUUAAAGGUAACAUAAAACACUAGUUUAAAAUAAUUUAAUCAUAGAGUAAAGAAAUAGUUUUUGUUGUUGUUUAAAGUUGAAUUGAAAGAGAAAACAGAAAACUUAUGUUUAAGGAUAAGGAUGAAUGAGUAAUUUUGGUGGAAGAAGAGGAUAGGAGAUUUUAAAGGAGGGAAAUUCCGUUAUGAGAUGAGGGAAAAAGAGGGAACAUAACGGAUCACGUUAUUUGAAUAGUGGUGAAUUGAGACAGUGAAAAAAGCUAGUGGCAUCCUUUUAGUUUCAUCGAAUAUUUUAAUAAUUUGACCUUUUCUUUUCCGGGGAUGAGAUGCGCAGGCAUUGAGUAUAUGUGUGUGGGUAUGUAAUAAUUACAGCCGCACGUGCGUGUUGCUGAGACUGAACCGAUUAAUAAACUAUAAUAAAAAGUAAUUUUAAUAACAAACCUAUAACAACUUUUAGUUGUUUUUUUAGAUAGAUUUGUAAUAUGUAAUAUAAAGAUAAAAUACGACAGAUACAUUUUUAAUAUGCAUAUAAAAGUGAAGAGAAUCAAUCCAUUUACACACAAUUUAAGUUACAUUAAUUAUAUUCAAUCUUAUUCAUAGAUUUUCUUAAAUCUAACCGACCAAAUGUGUGAAAAAAUAAAUGAUGAGAGAGAAAAAAAACAUCUUAGAUUUCUUUUAAUUUUCAUUCAUUUGGACUGUUAGAUUUAAAAAAAUUCAAUGGAUGAGAUAGAAUGUAAUUAAUAUAACUUAAAUUGUGUGUAAACAAAUCUCUCCUAAAAAAUAAAAUACCUACAUAUAUAAUAUGAUAUGGUGUAAGAGAAGUCGUAAAAUUUUAAUAGUUGAUAUAACAUCUAUUGCAUAUAAAAAUAGUUGGUAUUUACUUUUCAAAAUAUAUAUAUAUUUAUUUAUUUAUUGUAUAUGACUCAUAUAUAUUGUCAUUGUAUCAUCUAUCAGUCAUAUUUAAUUCUUACCGUUUAUUAUUCAAAAUCAAAAAAGAUAAUCAAAAUAAAUGGUAAAUGAUAUAGUGAUUAUAUAUUACACCAUUUGCUUUUACACUUGUAAUUCUUUAUCAUUUCUUUGUAAUUUCUAUUGUUUUACGGUAUAGCUACGAGUGUAAAGGAAGCAGAUGAGUGCAGUGAAUUAGUGAAUAUUCACUCCUAUUUACAAGUACUUUCCUAUAAUCUUGUAGAAGUUUCUCAGCGGCUGAGGCUCAAAUUUACUUUCACUUAAAUGUUUUACUUUGAUCGUAAUAAUACACGUUGAGAUUACUACUUAUUUAAUUAACAACAUAUUCAUACGUGUUUUUUUCUCCUUAUCUAUGAACUACGAAAAAGAGAGAGAAAUAGAUCAUUAGAAUCAUUUUUAUAUGCAACAUGCAUGUUUGCAAGGUACAUGUGGACUGGACAAAUAUAUUUCUAGCUUGCAGAUUUGGAAUUCCAAAGGAUGCUAACUAUGGCUGAUGCUUUGGUUUUUUUGCCUGUGGUCUAUCUGUUGAUGAGAAAUGGCUGUAUCUUUAGUAGCAAGGAGUUUGGCUACACUCAGAUCAUGGAUUUAAUCCAGAUUAGAUCUUAGGCUUGGUUCUCGGUUGCAGUAAGGUGAAUAGUUAUUAUACAUUUGCAAAUUGGUGUUUGGAUUCGUGGUUCUAUAUUCUUUCUUCUUCUUAAUUAUUCUUUUGUGGUUCUGUUUGUAUUGGGUUAGUACCCAUUAUGCUUUGUAUGUAUUUCCUGUGCUUAGCAAAAAAAUUAAGGAGUAUAAUUGAUCAACUUCAGUGAGUAAAGAUUGAGGGAAAAAAAUUGUCCAUGAGAUAUCAAAGAAUCUAAUGCACACCAAGAAAUUGUGAAAGAUAGAAUUAUGUCUAAAACUGCAUGAUCUAUACUAAUUUUAAGCCGCUUAUAACUUUUUUUUAGAGUUAAGGACACAAUAUAUUAAAAUUUAAAAUUUGACGCGGUUUGCUAACAGCAACAAAGUAGCAAAAUUAGAAGAAUGAAAUAAGUUUUUUUCUUUUCCCUAAGUAGUCCAAUGGCUUUUUUGUGUUUACAGUCCAAUGAAAAAAUUGUGCUCCUUUAAUCCUUUUGAAGAUAAUAAUAAAGUUGGAGCUGCCAUAAGCCCAUAACACAGUGUAUUAUUUUAUGUUUGAGUGGUUGAAAUCUUCAUCUUGUUGUUGAUUUGCAAGAGUCCAUUUUGGACCAUCUUGAGUUGGUACUUGAAAAGAGAAUUUGAAGCUCAAAUAAAUAUAAGUAUCUUAAAAGUAAGAAAAAUAGAGUGAGAAUAUGAAUAUUUUCCAUACGUGCCUUGUUGCAAUUUUUGGUACUGUAAGUAAACCAUAUCGUUCAAGUAACAAAAUCUGGUAAAUAUUGGUAUAUCGUCCUUAGAGAGUAGAGUAAAUUUAUACUAAUUCCUAUAGAAGUAGAUCGAGUAUAUAUUUAUAAGAUUUGAGAUUUCAAUGUUCAUUUGGUUUUUGAAUAUAAAUGUUAAUAUGCAAAAGUUAAACUAUGAAAUUAAAUAAGUUGGGAUUGAAGAUCAUCUUUCUUUCCCUUUGCAAUAUUUAGAUUCAGUUCCACAUAACUUGUGAAAUUAUAAAUUUUGAUGCACAUUUUCUUCGAAUCAUUUGUAUCAAUUCCUUGAGUAUAAAAUCCUUAGAUAAUUACUCUAAUAUUAAUUCUUUGGAUAUUUAACCAAUUAUCUAGUCUUAAGUUUAAUGUAAAAGCAAUUCAUAUAUCAUUGUUCAUUACUAGAGCAAUGAUGUAUCAAGGAAGAUAAACCAAAUUCGAUACCAAGUUCAACUUCCUAGUUAAACUUGGAUCUAAGAUAAAAAAUUCAGUAGCAAGGUAAACUCAAGCAUUAAACACGAGAUAUACUUCCCAAAAUUAAAUAACUGAAUAUAUUAAAGAAUUGAAUCAAGGAGUACAAAAGUUAGAAAAUUAAAUUUUCAAUCCUAACACUGAAGAACUAGCCACUCAUCAUUGCCACUACAACACUCUUCUCAUGAGAGACACAAGAAAUUAUGGAUCUAAAGUCGUUCUCACGACUUCUCUCUUCCUUUCCAGUGUUUCUCUCUCUAAAAACCAUGUGGAAAAGCUUGGAGAAUGGUUUGAUACCCAUUCUUUGCUAUCCGUAACCGCCUAUAUAUCUUCCAAACUUAUGGUCUCUUGCUCAAGCUAGAGAUUAUCGCUUAAGCAAGAAAGAUGACCAUCUUCAACCAUGAACACCUCGCUUGGGCGAGAGCCACAAAGUGAAUCAGGUCCUUUUAAGCUUCAUUUGUCGCUUGAGCGACAGUCCGUCACUUGGGCGAGGGACAGUUAGUGAUUUAAGCCUUUUUUCCUUAAAUUGUCGCUUGGGCGAUAGUCACCUUGCUUGGGCGAGGGACAUUCUUCCUGCUUGGGUGAGGUUGUAGCUCAAGCGAGGGGUGCAGUGUUCAAAAACCUCAAACUUUUCAUUUUUUUCAUGCUUUUUAUUCUACAAUUGACAUAAACACAUGUAAGUUCCUAAAAAAGACAAAAUUAGACUAAGUUCUUCGGAGUUGUACACAAUUUGCAUCAUGACUACACAAUAAACACUCCAAAAUCAUAUAUAUUUCAUUCACAAAAUGGCACUUAACAUGCCUUCACCUAUUUCUAUUGAGGUGAAAUGGUCUACACUCUAAAGGGUCUACUUCUGCCAUGUUAGAAACGAGAACCUGUAUUGUUAAGGUGACAUGAACUUGCCUUUGGCGUGAAUGAAAGUAGCCAACAUCAUAUUUUUCCUUAAUUAGGAUAACAUUUGAAGUAUAAUGAUGUAAACCAAGGGGGGCAACCUAUGAUUUGUGGAAGAUAAUCUUACAAGUACAAGAGUCAAUUGGAGUCCAUAUUCUUGGAAGGAAAUUAUGAUAGUUUUAAUUAUUGUUUUCAAUAAUUAAAGAUUUUUUUCUCAUGGUUAGUCUUAGGAUUUAUUUUAAAUUAUUGUUAAGUAUUUUUAUUUAAAUCAUGUAAUAUAAGAGUUGAGAAUUUAAUUACUUGUAUCAUGGUUCAUUAGUGGCCAAGUAGGUUGAUUAGGCAUGAUUAAAAAAGGGUGUGCGAAUCUUUGGGCUUUAGUUCAAAUUGUGAUGUGAACCUCUAGGGGUGAUUUGCUUUCUUUGUUGAUCUUUCUUGCCUGAAAUUUAAUUUGACUCAUGGAAUAACACUCUUAUAUGAAUGUUCACGUUUUUGUGUAUGAUUAUAAGUGAAAUAUGUAUGGAAUUAGUAUUUGGACUGAACUGGUGUUUAAUUUUGAUUUAUAAUUUUUGAUGUGUUUGCGUUAAAUAAAAGAAAGUGAAAAUGAUGAAGAUGGAGGCGUCACAAGCAAAGUAGCUUGAUAAGCCAAAGAGGUUCACCACAAGGAAUGCUCCUUGAUAAAAACAAAGUUAAGACGCCACACCAAUGGUGAUAAGCUUAUGAAUGCUACAAGAAUUAGUCUUGAUAAGUUCUAAAUUAGGAGCAAAACUCAACUAAAGAGGAAUUAAUACAAAUAAAAUUCAACUUAAUUCAUUCCUGCUGAAAAUGAAUACAUAAAUAAGAAUUCUGAAAUUGACUAAAUCCUAAUUUGAAUUUUAAAAUCCUAAUUAAACAUGUAAUUAAUUGGUCUUUAGUGGGAGUUUAAUGAGAGAUUUGUCUUGGCAUGGAUUUGACCGAAUUCCAUUGAGUAUUCAGUCAUGUGCUUAUUUGUUUUGUGUCUUGCUUGGCUGACUUUGAAUAUGGACGGAUUCCUCAAGGAAAAGGCUUGAAAAGGAAAGUUCAUAAAUUCUUGAAUCUUCAUGUUUUUGACCAUGAGUUGGAAUUUACAUUUGAGUAGGCUAAUUGCUCUUGAUACUUGCCAAUCUGAAUUGAAGCCCAAAGAUUCACACAACCCUUUUAGUCAUGCCUAAUCAAUCUACUUCACCACUAAUGGACCAUAAUACAAGUAAUUAAAUUCUCAACCAUCAUAUUACAUGAUUUAAAUAAAAAUAUGUAACAAUAAUUUAAAAUAAAUCCUAAAACUAAAUUAAAUCCUAAGACUCAUUAUGAGAAUAAAAUCUCAAAUUAUUAAAAAUAAUAACUAAAACUAUCAUAAUUUUAUUAUAAGAAUGUGGACUCCAAGUGACUCUCCUAUUUAUAAGAUUGUCCUCCACAAAUCAUAGGUUGCCCUCUUGGUUUACAUCAUAUAAUCUACGAUCAUAUAGGCCAAAUUUUGCCAGAUUGGUUAUUGGUCUAGUCCCUAGUAGUCGAUCUAUCAUAAUAGUGAUAUAUAACAAUAUGCAUUUCUCCUCUCAUUCGUAAUUUAUUCUGGUUAUGGUCUAUUGGAAAAGAAUUAAUUAUGAGAUUGUUAUGUUUGACAAAACAUUGUGUAGCUAUCACUGUUGUGCAAUUUUUACUUUCUUAUUUUAUUCUUAACAAUUUUCUAGUUCUAUAAAAAACCACAGAAUCUCAUAUGUAAUAAUCACCAACAUAUUAAUCAUCUUUCUCACCUUAAAUUAAAUAUUAUAAUAAAACAAAAAAUCCUAAUAUAAAGUGUACCCAUAAAAAAGUACUAUCUAAAAUACACUCAAAUAAAAAAAUUUAUUUUAAUUCCUAAAUAAUAUAUGUAGACUGAACUCGUCAUGUUAGUGUUAAUAAGGACACUAAAGAUAUUAUUUACAAAUAUAAAAAAGAAAACUAACAUUGAAGUUUUUUAAAAGUAAGUAUAACAUUUAUUGAAGUAUGAAGAUGUCAUUUAAAAAAUUAAGAUUUUCCUUUUCUUUAAUAUUUCUCUUAAGGUAUUUAUUAAUACUUUUAUUAAUCUGACAAUUGAUACUAAUCAGUUUAUAAUUCACCGUGUUUUUUCCAUCGUGCUUAAUUGCAGCAAAACACAUCCUUCGUCUUUUGACCAUUCAUUUCUUUUCACAUGUAAUAACUACCGAUUGAAACAUCAAGUGCUCAAUAAUAGCGAGUAUAUAAUUUACGAAAAAUGAUAUAUCCUCCUACUAUAUCCUUCUACCCAUAAGAAAAUAAGAAAAUGACAUGUGUCACAAUAAGAUACUUUAAUUAUUAAUGAUUGGAUUACAAGUGACAUAUGUCAUUUUUUUAUGGGUAGAAAAAUUAGUAGGAGAAUUUAGUAAAAAGAUAUAGCAAUGCUCUAUAAUUUACCCAAUCAAUAAUUCAUAUGCCAAUAUUUUCAUAAUUAUUGAUAAUCAAGUUCGUAUUGACCCGUACUAUUAUCACUAUGUUACUUAUGGAAAAAUAUCACAUGUUCUAAAUAAUACCCCAUUUUAUGUCCGAAGCCAAUUAAAGUGUUUCAUUUUAUUAUUUUUUGUAUUUAAAAUUUUAUUUUAUUUACGUGUUAACAUAUAAUUGAUUUGGCACGUCAUUUGAAACAAAUUACUUAUAAGAUGAAAGAUGCAACACGUACGUGUCUGAUCAUUUGCCGAUGCAACACGUACGUGUCUCAUCAUUUGCCUAUGCAACAAAGUGGCGAUUGAUAUGACGGGAAUUCGCAAAAAGUGGGAAUCUAAAAUAAAUAGUUAAAAACAUAAAACUCCAUAUACAACCCUUAAAUAUUGAUUGAUUUAAAUUAUUAUAAAAAUUCAAUUUGUUAAGAUAUGUCUAGUUCCUUUGGUUGGAUUUUGAAGCAGAAGAUAACGAAUAUAUGCUCCACACCAGAAUGUGAAACAUCCAUGGUGGAUGGAAUAAGAUCACCUAUUUUUAUUUGGCUAUUUAAUGUUUCUUAAUUAUGAGAGUCUUGUGUUUACUUUGAAGGUAAUUAGCUCCUCUUCUACUACUCAAGUUAGGAAAUUGUUUUUGCUGUUUCAAAUAGUAAAGUUUGUACCAAUAACUUACUGGUCUAGUGGUGUAAUAUUCCAUUAGAUCACACAAUGACCAAAAGGUCGUCAACAGUUCGAUUCCUAUGAGUGAGUGAGUGACACUUGUUAGGAAAAAUAAUCACAUAUCUUAAAAGAAAUUAGUUCCUUACCCAAAAGGUGUAAGAUACCCUCUUAAUACAACAAAAUAAUAGAAAAGUUGAUUUGUUUUUCAUCCUUCCCAUAAAGUUAUCAAUUAGGAUAAGAAAAUUUAAUAUUUGAUUAUAUUAUAUAUAUAACAAAAAAAACUUCUAACACCUUAUUAUUUGUCACAUGUCAUAUUUUCCUUCAUUUUUCGCUCCUAAAUGGUUUCAUGGUAAUCACAUGUACUUUUUUCACACUAUAUUUGCUCUUUCUUUAUUAUAGUAAUAAUUUAAUAAAUAAUUAUUGUAUUUUUUAUGACUACACCUUAAAUUGCAUUUUAAUUGUUAUUGAGGUCCAUGACUUUCUUUUUCUCUUUCAACAAUUUUUCUCUUCCAACAAUCUUCUUUUUCUUUGGUUUCAUUUCAUUAUGUAUCUUCAUUAUCAUCAUUCUCUUUCUCUUUAGAGUGCGUUUAUUUAUUUGUAGAUCUAUUCUUAUUUUGUAAAUCUGAUGUUUAAAGUAUAUUUUCAUUAAUCUUUUUAUUUAUUUUGUAGAUUUGUUCUUAUUUUUUUGGUAAUUUUUUCAUUUAUUUCCUUAUUUGGUAGAUGUAUUCUCAUUGAUUUUAUUAUUUUGUAGAUCUGUUCUUCCAAUAUUUCUCUUCCUUAGCGUAUGAUAAGCAAUGGUAUCUUCCUCAAGGAAUACCAGACCUUCAAAACCUACGAUAUGUACUCAAUCUCCAUUUAUAUAUACAUUCACUUACAAUAUUAUAUUUAUUUUUGUUCUCCUCAUCUUAUCUUACUUUUAUCAUUUUCUCUCUUUCUUUGUAGUUUGGUUCUUCCUUAUAAUAUUUAUGCAGGUUAAUUUUCUCUCCAUGCAUGUCUUAUUUUACUUACACAUUUUUUUAUUCAAAGAGUCACCAUUUCAAUUUUUUUGUUUUGCAUGUUUCAGAAACACCUAGAGUGUAUCCUCUCUAAAAUAAGGUAAGAAUCAUAGUUAGUUAUUGAUACCUCCAUUUUUUGUUUCAUGGUUAAUUAUUCAUUCACUAGUGGAUUUUGUAUUUUAUUUUCUCUAUUUGAUGAUGUUUAAUAUAUUUUUUGUUUAAUAUACUCAUUUUGGCACAAUAUUUGUGUUUUUGAAAAUUUUAUUUAAACAUCAUUACCUUAUUUUAUUGUUUGCUUAGAAAUUUGUAUUAUUUGGGUUGUAAAUAACACAAUAUAAUAUCUUUGUUCUUUGCUUUUAGAUUUUUUGGCAUUCUCAUAUGUGGAGAAGAAUAAUGUCUUUAUUUUAUUUGAUUUAAAUUAUUUAUGGUUUCCAAAUUUUAGGCAUUCCUUAUUAUGAAGAUAAAUUUCUAGAAAUAUAACUGAUGAAUUUUGAUUGUGAUAACCAAUUGAUUUGAUUUAUAUUUUGUUUAAAUUAUUUAUGAUUUCCAAAUUUUAAGCAUUGCCCAUUAUAGAUAUAAAUUGGUAGAAUUAUAACAUAUGAUUCAAAACUGAAGAAGAAAUAUAAUAGUUGGAAUUUUUUGUAUCACUUACAGAAAUAAUAUAUAAAUUUGUGGAUCAGUUACAAAAUAGAAAGAAUUAAUUAACAACAUAAACCAAGACAUACCAGAAAGAACAACUAAAUUGAGAAAUAUAUAAGGAAUCUUUGUAAUAAUUAUGGAAUAUAUAAUGUAAUUAAGGAGUAUAUAAAUAAUUAAUAAUUAUAUUUUACAAUCGCAAUAUUAUAAUAGUAGCAAUAAGAAAUAUAUUUUGUUUAAAUUAUUUAUGAUUUCCAAAUUCUCAUUAUGAAUAUAAAUUAGUAAAAUUAUAACAUAUAAUUCGAAACUCAUGAAGAAAUAGAGUAGCUGGAAUUUUUUGUAGCAGUUACAAAAUAGAAUAUAAAUUUGCGGAUCAGUUACAAAAUUAAAAGAAUCAAUUAACAACAUAAACCAAGACUUGUGAGAAAGAACAACUAAAUUAUGGAAUAUAUAAGGAAUCUUGGUAACAAUUAUGAAAUAUAUAAUGUAAUUAAGAAAUUUAUAAUUAUAUUUUACAAUUGCUAUAUUAUAAUAGUAAUAAUAUGAAAUAUAACAUAAACAAAAUAUUAAUGAUAGUAGAUUAAGAAGAUUAAAAAGGAAUCUUCAGAACAAUUAUGGAAUUAUGGAAUAUAUAAGGAAUAUUCGUAACAAUUAUGAAAUAUAUAACGUAAUGAAUGAAUAUGAACAAAUAUAUAACAAUGAUUGUGAGUGAUAAGGUGAUAGGAUGAUUAAGGUGAAAAAAUUUAAGAAAUGUAAUGAAGGAUGUUGUGGGUUCCAACCUCACUCAUAACAAAUUUAAGAAAAAAAAAAUAAGUUAUAAGGUAGUUUGAUGGUUAGGAUUGAAGCGAAGGAGAUUGAGAGUUCGAGCGUCGCCCAUAAAAAAUAUUAACAUCCUAACUAUUGCUGACAAAAACACGAUGAUUUUGUUUUAAUUAAAAAAUUAUAUUUUAAAGUUGUUAUGAAACUUUGAAAAAACAUUUUAAAAAUAGUAAAUGAAAUAUGUAGUAAUUAUACAUUUAAAUAGAUCUUAAAACAUUCUCAAAUAAUAUUAUUUAAUCAUUUUUUAAAACUUAAAUAGCAUGAAUCUAACUUAUUAGCAAUAGAAAUAAUAAACUAUUAUAUUACAAUUAAUAAGGAAGUUUGUUGUUAUUCUGUCUCACUAAAAACGAUAUGUAGUUAAUUUAAUUCUUGAAAAUAACAAUGUUUAGUAGUAAUUAUUCAAAAAGAUCUGAAAACAUUCUCAUUCAAUAUCAUUAAGGUAAUUAAUAUUAGGAAUCCAUUCGUAUUAUUAGUAGAAGGAACUAUGAUAUUACAAUUAAUGAGAAAAUUUGAUGAUAUUUAAUUUAUUUCAUAAAAUUAAUCAUUUUUAAUACUAAUUAAAAAGAAAACUUGAUAGUUCCCAAAUGCUUCUUUUCAUAUAUUAAGGAAUUAUUGAUAUUAAUUAUUAUGAUUUAGUUUCUACUUUAAAAUUAUGUAUCAAAGUUGUUAUGAACUUCGAAAAGAUAUUUUAAAUAUAGUAAAUAGAAUAUGUAGUAAUUACACAUUUAAAUAGAUUUUAAAAAGUUCUCAAUUAAUAUCAUUUAAUCAUUUUAUGUAUCAUCUAUCAUUCUUGUAGAUCAUUAAAAAUUCUUGUGAAAAAAUUGUACCGAAGAAAAUAUAUAAUCAAGACAAUGUUACAAUUUUAAAAUAUUAUAAUAAACUAUUAGUAAUUGUACAUAAUUGCUUCAACAAAAAAAUAUAAUAAUAUUGAUUUGUAUUAGUUAGAGUUAUAUUAUUUAUUUUUUCUUUACAAUUCUUAUAAUUAGGUCAUUACCUAUCUAAUGACAUAUACAUUUGUUAAUUUUGAUAAUCCAAUAAAUGUCAUGGUUCAAAAUACUUAUCCAAAUAUACAAGAUCACUAAAAAAUGAAGUUUUUAUAAACAAGAACAAUACUUGAAUCAACUAUUGAAAUUAUUGAUCAAAUAAAGGAGUAUGUUUUGAGUUUAAUUCCAAGUAAAAAUAUUUAUAAUCCAAUUCAAUCAAUUAUUAUAUUGUUGAUGCAAAUAUUUUUAAACUUAAUAAUAUUAUGUGAUGAAAAAAAAUUAACUCAUUUAUUUUUAAACUCAUUUACAAUUUUUGGUUUUCCAGAUCAUAACCAUGAUAUUGUAUAUAUUUAAACUUUGUCAAGUUGAAUAAUGAAAGACAUUGAAUUUUGAAGGAUAUAUCAUUUUAAGUUAUUUCUUAUAUUUAGAGAGACAAUCCAUAUGUAAUAUGUAUGUUCUUAACCAUGUGGCAAAAAAUACUAGAAGUGCAAAUGUACUAGUAACUCCCUAGUUAUAUGAAUAGAGAAGGUUCAACCUGUCUAGUCGGCCAACUAUUCCAAGACUUAAAUGUGCUAAAGCAUUCAUACGUAGGUCAUGCGAAGAACGUUAUGAGGCACAUGGAAUUAGGGCCAUUGUCAUCAAAUUGGUUAAGACAUGAUCUACUAAUUAAAUUGUAUAGAUACACAUAUAUUUAUAUCAUUUAUUAAAACAAAGUGUAGAACUUGGUGGUUGAUCGUAUUUUAAAAAUAUAAACAAAUUUAUUGGUUGUAUGUUUUAACUUCCACAACAACAUUUUGCUAAAAAUUAAGAUAAUUUUAUACUUUUUUUAUAAUUUUAAAUGAAAAUUAUUUGAUAUAACCAAUAUAAUUUAAAUUGAUACUGGUCAAUAUGACUAAUUUUAAUAAUAUUGAUCAGUUUGCAUGAUUACAUGAUUGAUGUCUCAUAUAAUUACGUUUUACUAUGUGGUAUAGUUGGCUAGUUAAAUGGGGUAAUACAGUCCGGUUUUUGUAAACAUGAUUCAAACUAUAGAAAAAGAUAUAUGCACUAGCCGUGAAUUUUAUGCACUGUCAUUGUAUCAUUUAUCAUUGAUAUUUAAUCAUUGUUAAUUUUUUUAAAAAAAGUAAUCCAAAUGAACGGUGGAUGAUGAAAUACAUGUGUAUGGAUUUUACACUGUCAGUUCAUAAAUUUUAUGCUCUUUCAAUUAUGCUAUUUUGCUUCGUAAGACCCUGAACAUCAUCCUGUUUAACCAUUAUGAUUAUUCGGUAUAAACUAUAGGUUCUAUCUUUUUUAUGACUUUUAAACUCAAUGCUAAACUAAAACGUGAACUUUUAAUUUAAUUAGUAACAAGCAAACAAACAUUUGGAGAUUGGUUUUUCUUUCUCAUAGGAACGCAGACAAGAUGACAAUUGACAAGGUAAGUUUUACUUACUAAGAACCAAAAAGAAGUUGAAGACUUGGAGUAAUGGAGAUCUUCCCCAUCCGUUCUUGUUAAAAGAGUUGAGACCUUAUAUGAAUUGAACUCUUUAUGCUACAACUGGCAAAGGGCACCUAAACAAUCCUGGUUACAAAAAAAAAGUACCUUGGGGCUCACUGUGGGACCCAAUGAACAAUAUGUUAGAGAAGGGCUUAGUUGGAGGCCAUGAUGAAUGAAUUAUUGAGAUCAUCUGUCUCAUACUCUCAUAUGAUGUCCCACUUGCUAUCUUGGACCAAUUAAAAUGUUGUUAAAUGAAUAAUUUUUUUUUAAAUACAAAAAGUAAUAAAAAAUAACAUUUUAAUUGAUUUGAAAUAGAAAAUAAUACAUCCUUUGAGAUAUGUGAUCUUCGUCCUCCUUCUCUUCCCUCAAAUGGUGCUUAUAAUUGGGGUUAGAGGGACUGACUCGAAACCUCUCAAGCUUUCACAUGCAUCAUGCCCACACAACCUGACCUACCACUUUUUCACCAAAUUAAGUUAUAUAUUUUUCCUUCAUUCUAUAUAUAUACGGUAUCUUCACUUGUUGGCCCCUAUGCCUUUUAGGUACCAUAUAUAUUAUAAUCCAUGAUUAAACAGUGGUAGUUUUUCAUACUUUAAAAAGUUCAAUUAUAUAAUUAUAUUUUGCCAUCAUAAACAUUACUCUCUAUUCUAAGAUAUACAAUUGCUUUCAGGAGUCAGCACGAUUCACAGCUCUUGUAUGUAGUGUUGUGUGUUAGGUGUUUUGUUUUAAUUUGUAGAAAUUAAUGAGUGUUUUUUUUGCCUGUGCUUCCCAAGAAAAGUAAAACCCAAUGAAUUUUAUAUUUAAAAAUUAAAAACAAUUAUACAAGAAGUUUGUACAUCAAAAUUUGACAAUUUUUUUAAAGAAUAAGGAGAAAAAAUAAAAAAUGGGUACCUUACAUUACUAGUGUAUACGUAUAACCUUGUUGACUGAAAAAGUUGUGUUAAAGGCCUCUCCAAACGCUAAGUUCAAAUUUUAUUUCACUGAACUAUUGUGUUUUCAUGAAUUAUGAAACUAGUUAGCUUUUAACCAAGUGAGUCACACCAGAUGUCAUUUUAUGGUGACUAAAUUGUGAAUUCUCUUCUUAUUUUUCAAAGAAAACACUUAUAUUUUUGUAAACUAUGAAGCAUUAAGGACACUUUAAUAUCUAUCUUUGUUGGAAGAUAUUCAUUCAUUAGAUAUAACAUUCAUUUAUGAGUUAAGUGAAAAAUCAUAAAAGUGAGUUUGACAUCAUAUCUUGACCCAAAACCUUCAGACAUUAAGUCUAUGAGUCCAUCCAUUUAUAUACUUCUUUACUCAUUCAUUUUUGCCAAUUCAUGUGAGACUUCUUCAUUCACACUUGAAAUAUUCAACAAUUUAACAUGUGUUUGUAUCCAAUGUGUAUUUGUUAUGGACACUCUUUGAUAUAUGUAUUUAUAUAGUAUUACAAUUAUUUUUUAAAUGAAUAAAUUAAAAUUUUGAUACUAUAUUUUUAAAAUGUUUUUUUCUGACAUCUUCAUAGACACUCAAACUAUUAUGCAUAAGUAAUAUGAAAUAGAUGACAGUACACAAUAAGUCCAGUAGAAGAGAUAUGCAACAUUCAAUCUAUCAAGUGAAAUAAUAAAAAGAAGACAAAAUAGGUACAUUGUAUAGAAAAUGAACAAGAAACACAUUUGAUUAUUAUUAUUAGGAGUUAAACGAGAUGGAUAUUUUUCAAGGCAAUAGGAAUGAUUUCUUAUCUUGAAACCAAAAAUCCCAAUUUUAAAUUUUUGGUAGGUAUGUACAACAUCCACAUAAAGUUCAUAGAAUUGGAUUCUUAAUUACUAUAGGACUUCUCACAAUGUGUUUGUGAUCAGUCCAGACCAAGCUUCCAUAGAAAUAAUCAUUAUUGGACUUUUUAAGUGUCUUCAACUUAAAUGUAACUCUAAAUUUUCUUUUUUCACCCUUGUGCUUGAACCUCAGGAUUUUAGGCUUAACAGAAACAACAACUUCUGGAGGUGCAUUGAUAUGCACUCUAUAUUUCCCCGGAGAGCCAACAUUAUUGGUAAGAGUACGUGUAACAUGUUGAGAAUGCCCAUGCACCAAGGGAGUAAUUGAGAUUGAUGGGUAAUUGAUAUUAGUUACUUGGAACGAUUUAGGACACGUGUAAGACUUGCCAUAGAACAACUGGAUCAUGGAACUAUUGUAGUGACGACCACACAAGAAGUUCAAAUAAUCAGUAGUUCUUAGGUUAUAUACAAGUCCAAGGUUUGUAGCAUGAUUAGGUUGGAUGACUCCUGUACUGUAUGCUAAUGGAGUUGCCCUAGCGAACAACCAUUCAUCUAGAACUGGCUCUCCAAUGUUAUAUUUUAUUCCAGCUGAAAAAUAGACGAAUUUUAUGUUCAGAGGGUAUAAGAAAUUGAAUAGCAUAAUCACAAGGGUAAAACUGUCAACAUUGAAUUAUGUUAUGAAAAAUUAGUUGUCUCAUGUACUGUCUCAUAUGUUGUCACGCGUCAAAUGAUAUUGAAACAAAAACAAUAAUAAUAAUAAAUGUUUAAAAUUUUUAAUUGACAAAUCAUAUUCUCAUUAGUGUAGGGAUAGUAUAUGAAAUAUGAUCUCAGAUUAUUUUCCUUUAUGUUUAGGAAUGUUUUAGGUUAUCGUUAUUUUAAAUUUUAUUGCCUAAUAUUCAUACUUCACUUCCCUAUGUCUUUCUACUCAAAACAAUGUCUUCAUAUAUACCUGUGGUCAUGAUUGCUGAUUUAAUUGCUGCUGGACUCCAAUCAGGAUGAAUUUCUUUGAGCAGCCCAGCAAGACCAGCAACAUGAGGAGUAGCCAUUGAUGUACCAGACAUAGUCAUAAAUGGAGUUCUGCGCUUAUCAUGUGGUCCUGGAGGUGCGCCUUCAGAAUAAGCAGCAAUGAUGUCAACUCCUGGUGCACUGAUAUCUCGCUGAAAUGCAAAAUAAAAAUUAAACUUCAGAUUUGAGAUCAAAGAAAGGGUAAUUCAUAACAAAAGAAACAAACCUUGAGGAUUGUUGGGCCAAAGUUACUAGGGCCUUGUCGCACCCAUUUUUUGGCUUGCAUGACUUUGUUUAGAGUCGUCACUCUUUUAAGCUCAAUUACCUUGGGCUUUUGGAUUUUUGAUAUCCAGGUUCGGGAGUCGGUUAUAAGGGAUGAAAGGUAUUAGCAUCCUACCCGUCCGCCUUAAGCGGUACCCUUCAUUAAAAUAUAUGACAUUAUUAUUAUUAUUAUUUAUUAAAUUGUAUGAUUAAUUACUUACUUAUUAUGAAAAAAAAUUAUUUAUUUUUAUUAUUGAGUCUGACAAUAUUGACUUUGGUCCUACGUAAUUAAAGGGAUCAAGGCUUACAUAGUUCUUUAAGUAGAAAAAUGUUUAUUGGUUGGCAAAUUUUAUUAAUGAAAAUACUUAUUUUUGUGUGUUAAUGAAAAAAGGUGUUUUGAUUAGUUGUUAAUUUAGUUGAAAAUGAUAUUUUUUUAUUGAUUUUGGGAAUUAAUCGAGUGAAAUGAAACAGCGUAGCGCAACCUUUAGAAGAUGAGUUGAGAAGAAAGAAGCCUACAAGGCGACCGUCUCUUUAUCUUUGAUUAAUUCCUAAAAUUCGAUGCACGGAGAAAGAUGCAAUACAAGUCAUAACCUUGUUACUGAAUCCCAUACGUGAUUAAAACAUAUUUUAAACAACGUAAAUAUUUUUUAUUGAGAAAAUUAAUAGGCGAAGAGCCAACAUUGACCACUUACCACCUUCCGGCUUCGAUAAAUAAUAGAGGCAAUGUUAGUGAUCGCAACCACUUCUCGACUCAAAGGGAAAGAAAGAUAUGACAUGAGUUAUCACCUCGCUAUCGAAUCUCAAUUAAAAUUAUUGAUUAAAAUACUUUAUUAUCCAUUAUUAAGUAAAACAAAUAAUUUUAAAAAUAUUGUUAUUAAUGAAAUCACUUUAAUCCCUUUACUUUUGUAAAUGAAUGAAAACAGUGGGUAGUCAUUUCUAAUUGAGAAAACAUACCUGAUAUUGAAACAAAUUAACUAAAAGGGCUUUAACCUUAUAGGCCACUUCACUACAUAGGUAAGAACCCUUAGGAGAAUAGGGAGCGAGUCUGAGCCUAAAUCGAUGUCCUUCAACUGAACAUAAAGAACCCUGACAAGUAUGUAUCCAAGGUGACUAGGAAAUGAGACAGAGUGUGAGAUUAGGUACAUCCAUGCAGCUUCUCUAAGCCAUGGUAACACGUCCAACAUGAAGGAGCUUGUAUCAUAUGGACCCCACAUUUUUUGUUUGGUUGAACCACAAGCUAUGUCCCAUGCACUCAUGUUAUGAACUGUUUGCUUUGUUGGAUACGCAUCUUGUAUGAGGAGUUUCUUUCGCCACUUGUGUUAACUUCAUGAUCGCUUGAUCAAAGACAUGCGGAAGUUGAGUGACUAAGGCAUGGAAUUGGCACCACUAAUUGUAAAAUGGUGUCUUCAACUUGCCCAACAUCAAAUCCAAACUAAUGAGUAUGCUCCUAAAGCAAAUCAUUGUGUCCAUUUUCUUUAGCAACCCAAAUUGUCUAAGAAAGUAAGGAUAACACCACGUGUUGAUCUCAUCUCCUCUUACAAAAUCUCUGUGAGAGGGGUCAUUGGUAGAGAGUGGAAUGCCACACCAAUGAAAUAAAAAACAUGAGAUUUCCCACUAGAUGUGCAACCCGAGCCACCAUUCAUAUUUUUUUUGCAACGUAGAAUGUACCCGACACCUUUUAAUAACUCUUCUCUUCACAACUUCAUGAUAUUCAUCUUGUAUUCUUUGUCUAAGAGAGGUUCCAGCAUGUUCAGCGGCACCCUUGUUAGUCAAGAAGGAAUUGGAACAUUUUAACCCUUUAUAAAGGACAUUAAUCCAUAUAAAACCACCAGAUGUGUUGAGAGUGAGGGACGCUGUUAAUGAAAUUGGUUGGGAUAACCAGCAUGCGACGAUUAAUAUCGGUUGGUCAUGAGAAAUUGAGGCCUUCGGUGUACUAUUCGGAAUAGUCCCAUUCUUCAUUAUCUCCCAACACCCAACCUGGUUAUCUCAUGAAGAAGCUAUAAAGAAAUUGGUUUUGGUCAAGACAACAUUGGGUUGUCGAGAUCCUCUACUUAGGAACGUGUUGGUAGUUGUGAGAUGAAACAACAACCUUGGGUUUAUUGAAUGCCCUCAUGUGUAGAGAAUCAUCUUCUUAAAUGAAUCCACCAAGUUCAAAUAAACAACAACUGAUUUUGCAUAUAUUCCAAAAUUAGACCUUGAAGAAGUUGAGAAUGUUAUGUGAUUGCAAUGGUUUGUUUUUUAGGUUGUUGGAAAAUAGAUUUUAAUUAUAAGAUGUGGUGAUAUAGAGAGACGUAGGUAUGUGAGGAAAGUGACUCUGAGGCUGUGCUAUGGGGAGAGAGAAUAGACACUUUUUUCUAAUUACUUCCCUCUCUCCCUUCUAUAGUGUUCUCUCUCUAACCUAAAAAACCAUAAACCACUCCCUCUAAAAAUUAGUUAACUUCUCUCCAUCAUCCCAUUUAUCUUUCAUCUUUUUUAAUCAAUGUGUAACCACUACUUAGUGGAAAAACCCCUCAACCCACUUCUGCUCUAAAUGUGAGAAUCUCUUUCCACUCUCUUAAUCUAGUUAACAACCAGAUUCAUUUUCCACUUUUUGUUUUAUUAUUUACCUAUUUUUGAAUUAAAUUAAAAAAAUUAUUUUUUAAUAAUAUAUAUUAAAAAAACUGGUGUUGGACCUUUUAGGAGUCGAACAAAAAUAGGUGUUCACACACCUCUUAAUGAAAAUGAAGUUAUUAUUGGAGCCAGCUUUAAACGUAAAUUUGUUUUCACUAUAGAAAUGUGAGCGGGAGACCUACAUCAAAUAUGAACAAUAUAUCAUGUUAUUUUUUGUACGGAUAAGCCUGGUUUUGGCUUCAAAGUAUGAAGAAUUUAAUAACCUCAAGCACGAGGAAGAAAAUUUACUUGGUGUGGUUGACGUAAGUUAAAAUAUAUUUGCCAUCCGUAAAGUUAACAUGUGUAGCAGGAAGCACAUGAGUUUCAGGUAAAACUUCAAACCAUGAAUAAUCAUUAAUCAAAAUCAUUCCAACACCUCCAACACGAGCAAUUAGUAUUUUUAGCAUUGACCAAUGAAUAUAACUUAUCAGAUGGUAAGCCAAACUCAGAAAGACUUAAUCCCUAACAAUAAAUAAACAAAUGAAGUUUUAGAAUAUUAGAUAUUAUAUGAGUCUCUCGAGGCUUUUAAUGUAUAUACUAGGGUAUUGCAAAUCCUAAUAUUAAAACUUAAUAUAACAAUAGGAAACUAAACUCCAUUAUUUAAGAAAUUGAAAAUAGCCCCUAUAGAAAAUGAAGAUUGAUGUGAGUGAGUGAUUAUUGAGAUACCUCUUCUUUUAAAGUGAAUUAGAUAAGUUAUAUGCAAUUAUGAGUUUAUAUGUCAAAGCAUUGCUUAAGGGUAUUGUCAAAGCAGAAAUUUCUGGGUAAGGAAAAAAAGAUUGCAUUUUCGUAUUUUUGUUUAGCAGUGUGGUGUGUAAAGAUGCAGCACAAAUCCUUUAACAAGUUGUGGUGGGUGGGUUUCUGGUUAUAGAUUACAAAUACACAAUUAAUUUGUUCUAUGUGUUUCAGUGUAUAUAUAUGCGGAAUGGAAUCUCUCCAAACGCUAAGUUCAAAUUUUAUUUCAAUGAACAAUUGUGUUUUGAUGAUUUAUGAAACUAGUUAACUUUUAACCAAGUGAGUCACACCAGAUGUCAUCUUUGUGGUGACUUGUGUCAAUUCUCUUCUUAAUUUUCAAAGAGAACACUUAUUUGUAAAUUAUGAUGAAGUAAGGAUGCUUCAAUAUCUUACAUGUACUUGUAUCCAAUGUGUAUUUGAUAUGGACAUUCUUUGAUAUAUGCAUUUAUAAAGUAUAGCAAUUACUUUUUAAAGGAAUAAAUUAAAAUUUUGAUACUGUAUUUUUAAAAUAUUUUUAUGAUACCUCUUUGACUCUCAAACUAUCAAGCAUAAGCAAUAUAAAAUUGAUAACACACAAUAAGUCAAGUAGAAGAGAUGGGUAACAUUCAUUCUACCAAGUGAAAUAAUAGAAAGAAGACAAAAUAUGUACAUUGCACAGAUAAUGAAGAAGAAAUACAUUUGAUCAUUAUGAUCAAGAUUUAAACGAGAUUGAUAAGUCAAUAAGGAAUGAUUUCUUAUCCUGAAACCAAAAGGCACAACUCUAAAUUGUUUAUAGGUGUGUACAACAUUCUCAUAAAGUUUAUAGAAUUGGAUUCUUAACUACUAUAGGACUUCUGACAAUGUGCUUGUGAUUAGUCCAGACCAAGCUCCCAUAGAAAUAAUCAGCCUUGGACUUUUUAAGUGGCCUCAAUGUAAAUGUAACUGUGAAUUUUCUUUUUUCACCCUUAUGCUUAAAUCUCAGGAUUUUAGGUUUAACUGAAACAAUAACUUCUCGAGGUGCAUUGAUGUGUACUCUAUAUUUCGCCGGAGAACCAACAUUAGUAAGAGUACGACUAACAUUUUGAGAAUACCCAUGCACUAAGUGAUUAAUUGAGAUUGAUGGGUAAUUGAAAUCAGCUAUAUUGAAUGACUCAGGACACGUGUAAGACUUCCCAUAGAACAACUGAAUCAUAGAACUGUUGUAAUGACGGCCACACAAGAAGUUCAAAUAAUCAGUAGUUCUUAUGUCAUAUACAAGUCCAGGGUCUGCUGCAUGAUUAGGUUGAAUGACCCCUGCACCAUAGGCUAAUGGAGUUGCCCUAUCUAACAACCAUUCAUCCAAAACUGGCUCCCCGCUGUUAUCUUUUAUUCUAGCUGAAAAAGAUAUGAAUUUUAUUUUAGAGGGUAUAUAAGAAAUUGAAUGCCAUAAUCACAAGUGUAAAACUGUCUACAUUAAUAUUUAAACAUGGAUUUAUUGUCUCAUAUUUUUCUCAUACAUUGUUACAUGUUAAUGAUAAUGAAGCAAAAACAAUAAUAAUAAUAAUGAAUUAUUAAAAAAUUUAAUUGAUGUAUCAUAUUUUAAUUAAUUUGGGGACAAUGUAUGAAAUUUCAUCUUGGACAACAACAUAUCUAUAUUACUUUAUGUUUAGUAACGUUUUAGCUUAUCGUUAUUUUAAACUUCAUGGCCUAAUUCAUACUUCACUCGCCUAGGUCUUUCUACUCAAAACAAUAUCUCCAUAUAUACCUGUGGUCAUGAUUGCUGAUUUAAUAGCUGCUGGACUCCAAUCAGGAUGAAUUGCUUUGAGCAACCCAGCAAGGCCAGCAACAUGAGGAGUAGCCAUUGAUGUACCAAACAUAGUCAUAAACGGAGUUCUGCGCUUAUCAUGUGGUCCUGGAGGUACGGCUUCCGAAUAAGCAGCAAUGAUGUCAACUCCAGGUGCAGUGAUAUCAGGCUGAAAUGCAAAACAAAAGUUACACUUACCUCAUUACUUGAGAUUUAAGAUCAAAUAAAGGGUAUUAACAAAUGAAAUAAACCUUGAGGAUUGUUGGGUCAAUGCUGCUGGGCCCUCUAGAUGAAAAUGAAGCUAUUAUUGGAUCUGGUCUUAUACCUAAAUUUGUGUUCACUCUAGAGAUGUGAGCCAAAGGAGACCUACAUGAAAUAUGUACAAUAUAUAAUGUUAUUUUUUGUAUAAAUAUGCCUGAUUUUGGCAAAUUAGGAAGAAUUUAAAAUCCUCAAGCACGGAGAAGAACAAUUACUUAGUGUGGUUGAUGUAAGUUAAAAUGUAUCUGCCAUUCGUAAAGUUAACAUAUGUAGCAGGAAGCACAUGAGUGUCAGAAAAAACAUCAAACGAUGAAUCAUCGUUAAUCAAAAUCAUCCCAACACCUCCUACACGAGCAACUUCCACGCCUUGGCUGAUUGGUUCACCAUCAUAUCUAUGACAGACCAAUAUUUUUCCAUUGCCUUUGUUAUGAUCAAGAGUUCCAUUUUUGCAAUAAAGGCUACAAUAAUGGAUAAGAUGAUAUGAGAAUAUCCACAAAAUAAUAAUUAUUCAAUAAGGUGUUAUUGUUAUAAUUAUUCUUACGCAUCUGUAGCAUUUGCGUUAUGAGCUUUAGCAUUUUCAGCAUUGACCAACGGGUAUAAUUUAUCAGAUGGUAAGCCAAACUCAGAAAGACUUAAUCCCUAACAAUAAAUAAACAAAUGAAGUGUUAGAAUAUUAGAUGUUAUAUGAGCCUCUCAAGGCUUCUGAUGUAUAUACUAGGGUAUUUCAAAUCUUAAUGUUAAAACUUAAUGUAAAACAGGAAAACCAAACUCCAUUAUUUCAACAACUGAAAAUCGCCCAUAUAGAAAAUGCAGAUUGAUGAGUGAAUGAUUAUAGAUAUACUCAUAUACAUCUUUUAAGGUGAAUUAGAUAAAUUAUCUGCAACUAUGAGUUUAUAUAUCACUUGGUUGUCGAUUUUUGUUAUACAAAUAAUAGAGCUCUAACUUCUAACAACAAAGAUAAAAUGUAAUACACAAUAUACCUUGAGGACUUUGUUGUUACCAAGCUUAACAUAAUUAGCGAACUCUCUAUCAAUUGUGCUAGCAGCAACUGUGAACGUCCAUGGUUCCACAUUCGAAACUGUUGUAGGAUUUGGUCCUUCAUUUCCUGCGGCACUCACUACAAUUAUGCCAUUUGCAACAGCAUGAAAUGACCCUAUGGAGACACCACUUUGAAAAAAUUCGGUGUUUUCUCCACUCAAUGAUGCCGAAAUCACAUCAACUCCAUCACUUAUGGCAGCAUCAAAAGCAGCUAAAAUGUCUUCAUCAUAACAAUAACUAUUUUGUGCCCAACACACCUUAUAGGUCGCAACAUGGGAUUUCGGUGCACCACCAUGUGCAGUUCCAUUGCCAUUCCCAAAUACACUUGCUCCAUCAACGAAAUUACCACCCGCAGUUGAUAAAGUAUGUGAACCAUGACCACUAUCGUCACGUGCAGUAUUAAAUAUAGCAUUUUUAUGACGUGCUUGGUAUCCUUUGUAAAAACGUUUUGCUCCAAUAAGCUUCCUAUAUUUUACAAAUCAAAUAGGGCCACCACCAUAGAAAUAAUCAAUGGGAAAGGUUCUUUGUAAAAAUAUAUCAUAUUUUUUGUUGGAAAAAUUAGAGUUUAUAAAGAGAAUGGAGAGAACUGCAAAUGAUAUAAUACUUUUUGUUAGAAAAAUGAGAUCUUAUAAAGAUAAUAAAAGAACCAAAGUAUGAAAUUUGACUCAUACAAUAGUGUAACUACCAUCUGACCAAUUUUGUGACUAACUCUUAUUUCUAGCUAUCUCUAGAGGCCUAUCAAAGUUUUAAGUAGAUAGCUGUUUGUUUUAUUUCAUAAAAGUAAUGAGGACAAAAUAAGAGAUAGAAAUGGAGUGAUUCUGAUGGAUUUGUCGCUUAUAUUCAUUUUGUAUUUCAAUCCAAUUAAAAAGUGAUACUUUAUUAAAAAGUAUUAUAAAAUUAUAAAUUAAUAUUUUUAUAUUAUUUUAUGAAGUUUGAUUGUGAGAGUGCAAAGUGUCAAAGAUUACAUUAGCAACGUUUGCUUAUGUUUUGAUGAAGACAAUGAAUUAGCUAAAGCUUGAAGAUGGUUCAACAAUCAACAUGCCGAAGGCUCAAGUGGUGUCUUUUUAGACUUAUGUUAUAAUUCUUUAUUAUCUUUUUAGAAGUCUAAGAUGCUUGCCAUAGAUACUGAGUCUAGGUUAGGUAAACCUAGGUGUGAGUCUCACAAGACUUAAUAAAGUAAUUAAUCAAUUAAANNNNNNNNNNNNNNNNNNNNNNNNNNNNNNNNNNNNNNNNNNNNNNNNNNNNNNNNNNNNNNNNNNNNNNNNNNNNNNNNNNNNNNNNNNNNNNNNNNNNCAUAAGUGUUUUUCUGCUGUUUUAACAGCAUAACUGAAAAACCGUUUUUGAGAGCCAAAUUUUGUUUUGUAUAAAUACUGGCUUAAUUGCAUAAACGGUUAUGUAGAAAAAGAGAGAAAAACACAAAGAAAAAGAUAUAGAUCAUCAUUGUUAGAAUCUAUUAAGAAAGUGUUGAAUUAGGAGAAAGUUUAGAUCAUGCUAAGGCUUUUAGAUUUCAUAUUCAUUGCAUGUUUCUUUGAAAAGUUUUCUUGCAUAUUCUUGUGUUUUCUUGAAAGAAAAAGAUAUAGAUCUUUUUUAUUACAUAUUUUCAUAAACCUCGUGCAUGAACAUUAAUAUUAGACUAGGACGUCUUGUGAAGUUCUUGCUUAUGUUUUAGGCUUUGGUUUUCAUUGUAAUAUCUAAGUAUUAAGUACUCAUUCAUAACUCAAAGCAUUGUUAGAGGAUUGGGAAAAUCCUAGCUGCGGUUAGGUAAGGUGUUCUUCACAAAAAGACUUGAGAUCUUGGGAUAAAGAGCGAUACCUUGGCUAUGGCCAAAUCGCAUAAGAAAGGUUUUCUUGGGAGGCGGUUUUGGGAAAGGUCAAAUCAAGGGUGUCGAAGUUCUUUGGGUUCCAAGAAGGGAGCGUUCAAGUUAAACUUGACACCGAACCUGGAUCAUCUUCCUUCAUACAUCAUUACUCUAGGAAUGGAGAAUGAUGCAUGAAUUGCUUUUACAUAGAACAUAGUGCUAGUUAAUUGGUCAGAUAUCCAAUGAAUUGUUAUUUGAGCAAUUAUCUAAAGAUUUUACACUCAAGAGAUUGAUUUGAAUGAUAUGUGCAUCUGAAUCAGUAACUUCAUAAUUCACUUGGAAUUGAAUUCAUGGAUAUCAUUGGGAAAUAACGAUGCAUUUUGAUCCCAAUUUAUUUUACUUGUUUUUUAUUCAAUUUAUGAGUUUUUACAAUUAAACAUAAAAUUUUAUACAAACAUCAUUGCAAAUAUAUACUUAGUUCAUUCUUGUAUGAAUUAGUGUAAAUUCACUCUGCUCCCUGAGGACGAUACCCCCGUACUUUAUUGGAAUUUAUUACUUGUACGAUACGAUGCACUUGUCGUUCCGUAAAUAUCUAACAAUGCCUUCACAGACGUGGCCUUCUCGAUGUAAAACCAUGUGAAAUCAUCACCUGUGUGGUGGGAGUAUAUAACACUGAUGAGAUUAUCAAAUUCUCUCUUCUUUCAUUAACCUCCUCCAUUAAUGUGGUGAGAUAUGACUUCCGUUAAAAUUUGGGGAAGAGAAAGAGAGGGUAAAGUGUUUGUCUUUUCAAAGGCUUGGUUUUUGUCAGACAUAUAUAACUUUUAAGAUUUUGUGACCGUAGGAUGAUUUUAGGGAAGAAGAAGGAGAGAAUGGUUAAAACUUAAAAAAAAUAUUCAUAACUUGCUUUAAUUUAAAAUUAAAUAAAUUUAUUUUGAAAAUCUUGGCACUCGAUUAUAAAAUUUUGUAAUUGGAAGCUUGUAUACAUACAUUCUGUUCCAUAGUGAAGAAGGAAAAUCUUCCAAAUCAGAGGGGAAGACUGGAUGUGGUUUUGCAGUGGACAACAAAAUGAACCAGGAUAAAAUCUUUGCGCAAUCUUUUCUAUCAUUUUCUCUUUUAUGUUUCAAUAUGUUUUAAUGCGAGUUUGGUGCUAAUAUUUUGAAUACUUGUUCUUUGCUAUGUUCUUGUUAAUAUUGCACAAAAGUAUCUGUUGUAUAUCUGUUUGUGUGUUUGUUAAUAACCGUGCAAGUUGUUGUUAUGAUCAUUCUGUUUAUGUUACUGGUUAAUCGAUUAAGACCAAUUGUUAAUCGAUUAACUUGGCAUUUUUCAGCAAGUGUGUAAAAACCAGAAAAGUGAAAAUUGAGUUCCGCCACACCUAUUCAACCCCUUCUAGGUGUAUUCCACCACUAAUACUUAACAGAUUGGCUAAAAAUGUGGGGACAUGAAUAUUUUGAAACAAGAAAUUUAUGUUCAAAAAUUUUAAUGCACAUAACACACAAAUAAAAAAAAGAGUUGAUAUUAGCAAGGUUGAGAAGAAUGAACCUAUUGCAGUGAAAAUUUUCACUGUCACAGCUUCCACGCCACUUUAUGGGGACAGGUCCAAUCCCUUCAUCACUAAAACUCUUUGAUUCAGGCCAAACACCUAUCACCCUCAGCAUCAAUUAAAAAAUAGAGUUAGAGCUUUGUAUGAUUUCUAUAUAUAAAAAAGAAAGAAUCAAUAGAAGAAGCAUUACUGACAUAUAUUAAGUAUUAGCAAGAGCAAAAAAAUAAGUUAACAAAAAUCUUAUUGAUGAUCAGACUUGGGUUGAGCAAAGUGAUAUAAUUUUUAAGACCCAAACUAAUCAAACCUAUCAUUGUUGGAUUGGUUUAGAACUUUUGACGUAAUUGACUUUAUUUUUCACUUAUCUUUCCUUAUUUCUACUUUUAGAUUUUAUCUUUGUUUUAAAACUGUUUUAGUUUUACAUUUUAAUGUUUAAUCAAGAAAUAAUUUUCACUUCUUACUCCUAUUAAAUCAUUUUCACUUUUUACUCUUAUUAAAUAAUUACUUAAUUUCUUUCUAUCGUUAAUCAAUUAAAGAAUUAUGUCUCUACAAUGUAAUUUUAGAAAAAAUAUCAUAGAAUAACAACGAAAUUAAUAAUUUCUUAAUAUGCCUGUCAAUAUCUUAAGUCAAACUAAAUUAUAUAUACAUAUAUAUAAUAAAAUGAUUUUAAAGUGAUUCAAUAUUUGAUUGAUUUGGAAAAAGUUUGAUACAUUAAAUAUUUGCAUAAUAAAGUCUAAUUGAGUAAGAUGAUCUCAAUAUUUACCAUGUUCAAUGUUAUAGAUCAAAUACACAUUAUCAAAAUAUAUAUUAGAGGAGUUGCUGAUAUUUUAUUAGUUAAUUUGGUCUCCACUAAUUGAGUCAUAUAACCAAAAUAAUAGCAUAUUAGAUAGUUCAAAUCAUGUCUAAUACUUAGGCUGAUCACAAUCAAGAAUAAAAAUAAAUACUUCCUCCUUUCAUUACCACUGUCCAAAUUUGCAAUAAUGACAUCUUCACCCAAUGUCUUCUUCCAUAUUGAGUCAUGUGAAAUUACACCAUUUUUAUGUAUUCCAAGAAAAUCCCAUGAGUGGGUUGUGCGCAAUUUUCGUCUUUUGCUUUCAAAAACAGAUACUACACUCGGAUGCUCUGCGUUAACACAAAAAACAAUGGUAUGAAAACUGAAGUGAGUGUUGGUAUGCAACAAUGCAUUAUGCAAAAGAUAAAUUUAGAAAGAUACAUGAAUUUGAAUUACAUACUUGCAACCAUAGCUGCUUCAUCUUCAUCAAGUAGUGCAGCAAAGCCAUUUAUAUGCCUAUUAUAAGAGUAAAAGAUUGCAUCUUUGGCGUUUUGGGUGCUGUGCAAGAAAACACAUCUCAUUAGUCCAAGAUAUAUUUAAUUCUGCCACCACAGAAUUUCAUGGACGAUGUGUUAAAUUGUAUACCUUCCAACAAAUGAUCCAAGUAAAUCAUAGUGAAAGUCGGUAACAGAUUCAACAUCUUGUUGGGAAGGAUUUUGGCCAAAAGAAUGUGAUCCUAAAUAUACAAUAUAGGGCUAAAAAACAAAACAUGGGUAUUACUAGGAUAUGUUUAAACAUUCAAAUAUGAAAAUUAAAAAUAGAGAAAUAAUAAGCUUUCCAAUGUUACAAAAAAUUGCCAGAGAGCUUGCCUUUUUUAUUGCUAGGGUUGGUUCCUGUAGCACAAAGCAAAGAAGAAGCGAUAAUAAGACAUGAUAAAUAGAUGAAGACAUUGUUUUUUCUCACUAAUUAAAUUUGUUUACAAAAUAAAUUUCACAUACGUUGUGCAAAUGGGUUCUUCUUUCCCUAACUUAUAUAGGACUCGUGUGUUAUGCUCCGAGACCAAAAAUCCAUGCUAACAGUGCAAUUAACAAAUUCUAAAUUUUACUGUGUGGGUAUCCAUUUUUGUUAUGCCCAUAAAAAUGCUAAAACUUUUUUAACAUCAAAAUAAUUUUUCAAAAAAGUAUAUAUCUUUAUUUGUGAAAAUAAAUUAAUUAAAAAUGAAUAUGAAAAGGUUCUAAAAACUCACCCCUUACAUAUGUUUAAAAUUAAAAUAGUUUCUAGAAGUUCAUCCUUUUAUUUUUCAUUUUCAAGAUACAUAGAUAAAAAAUGGAUCACUUUAUUGCAUCAUUUAUUUAAUAAAAAAAAUCUGAAUUUUUAAUGUAAAAUGAAUAAAUAUUAGCCAAAAUCUAAUUUUAUUGAUUUUAUAUGUUAAUUUUCUUUUCGUAAAAAGCAAACCAAUAUUCUUAAGAUAAAUAUCUUAUAUUCCUUUUGAUUUUUCAAAAUAAAAGCAAAAAUGAGAAAAGUUGUUAGGAUAUUAAUAGUAAAAGUAAGCAACAAUCUUUAUUUAUGGGUCAAAUGAGUUUGUAUUUUUUACCAAUAUUAUUUAUUUUUACUAUAAAUAAGCACUUAGGCUAUUAGGUUAAACACCACAAAAAUCCAGUGCGGGCAAGCACACGGUUAAGUAUCAUACUCUCGUUUCCAGCCAACAUCACCAUCUGAUUGAUCCAUUUAUUCAACAUUAUUUACUUUGACUAUGUGGCGUAGUAUAUACAAUUUUAAUAGUCUGAAUGUGUUUCGUCAUAGUGGAUAUGUGGCUCCUUGUUAGCAUUGAAUUCCUUGUGGUCGAUUGCAUAAUUGAACAUUGUUCAACCCCUUCAUCCAACCAAUCCAGGACUAACACAAGGCCAACCCAGUUUCAACCCCCAAUUAUGUAUUUUCUUUAUUUUCCCUUUAUUAUUUUCUAUUUUAUUUAUUUCUACUUAAUUAUAAACCAUAAUUACUUAAUAAACAGUAUAAUUUAACAAACAAAAUUUUCAUUAAUAAUAUUAAACAGAAUUUCAACAAAAAUACUAAUAACUAACUAUACUAAUAUUUUAAAGGAUAAUUCAUAACAAACAUACAUAUAAUCCUUUUUCCUAACAACUAAUUAACAAACUUUUUUUAGUAAGUAAUUUUUUUAUACAAACAAUCAGAAUUCUUACUAUAAUUAAAUUAAUCAAAUUAGUUGCUUUAUAAAAUAUUUUCAUUGACAAUCUUCAUUAUAGUCAUUGAUUAAACAUAUAACUUUUUAUUAUAGUUUUUGAUUAAAAAUAUAACUUUUUGGGAUUAAUCAAAGAUAGAGAAGGAUCAUAAUAUCACUUAUCAUCCUCAUCUCAUUUUUAAAUAAUUAUGUUGCGAAACUUCUAUUCUCUUUAUUUAAUUCCUAAUCAAAAAUAAAAUAUUUUUCUUAAUUAAAUUAAUAAUACAAUAAAAACCCACUUUUCUCCAAUAAAUAUCAAAAUUAAAUAAAUAUAUUGUCAUGAAAAAUAUAAAAAUGGCUAAUUACAUUAAAGAUGGAAGGAGGGUUGUCAAUGAUGGAUUACUUGCCUCAACUCAUCAUUUAGACAGUCGCGAUAUAUCGCUUCAGCUCCUAAUUAAAACACUUGAACUAAACCAAUUCGAUAAAUACGUAGUACUGAUUCACUAUUGUUUAUAGGGAUACGUAGGAGUAAGAUUCAAUUUAUUAGACACAUCAUAAAAAUAAAUAAAUUUAUUCAUUUUUCAAUAAUUAAUUAAAUAACCAAAUAACAAUAUUAUAUAAAAUAAGUCAUCCAAUUUAGUGAGGGUACCAUUUAAAAUGAGCGUAUAGGAUGCUAAUACCAUAUCUACUCUAUAACCUACUCCUAAAUCCAAAUAUCAAAAUCCAAAGUUCAAUGUGAUUGGACUAAAAGAUUUUUCCAUACUUUUUAUCAUAAAAAAUAUAGUGUUAACUCUAAUAAAGUCGUGUAGCCGAAAAUCAACACAUUAUACUUAGGGCUGGAAACGAGCCAAACUCAGUCGAAGAAGAGCUCAGUUUAAUCCAGCUCGAUAAGGAUUUUCUAAGCUCAAAACACUAUUGAAGUUCGAUACAAGUUAUUUUUCUAGAUCGAUUUUAAUUCGAUUAAAGUUCACGGUCCGUUCAACUCAAAAUCGUCCAUUUGAACAAUUUAAAUAAUUAAUUCAUUUUUAAAAAAAAUAUUGUAAACAAUUAUAUAUAUAUAUAUAUAUAAAUAACAAUAAUAAACAUAAAAAUAAUGUGAAGUCAUGGUAUAUAUAUAUAUAUAUAUUUAAAUAUAAUAUUUAUAUAUUAUAAAUAUAAAUAUAAUAUAUAUAAUAUAUAAAUAAAUCAUAUAUAAAUGUAAUAUAUAUAUAUAUAUAUAUAUAUANNNNNNNNNNNNNNNNNNNNNNNNNNNNNNNNNNNNNNNNNNNNNNNNNNNNNNNNNNNNNNNNNNNNNNNNNNNNNNNNNNNNNNNNNNNNNNNNNNNNUAUGUGUACCUAUGUAUAUAUAAAUAUAGUACAUGAGGUUUGCUAACCUGACUCAAAUUAUUUUCAUGAAUAACCAUAUUAGCAUUGUAUACUCAAAUAUUUAGAUCAAAAAAUCAUAUUUCAUUUUAUUCACACAACUCUAUUUCAAGAGUAUUUUAGUUAAUUUACGUUAUAUUAUUUUUAAAAUAUUUAUUGCAUUCUCUCUCUCCGUAUUUAAUCUCAUUUUUCAAUUACUUCACUUUUCUUCUUCAAAUUCUACUCACCUCUUUUCUCAUAAAGCAAUUUUUCAUUUUGAUUUGUAAGAUAACUUACUUUUUUAGUUUCAAACCUUUUGCUAAAAAAAUUAUAUUCAAACAUUAUUUUAUAGAAAAGUCUAACUUAAUAUUUUAUAUAGUUAAAUUUAAUGUCUAUAUUAGUACUUUAAUUUAAUAAUAUUAUUGGUAAUUAAUUAAAUAAUAUAUUCCUAAUCAUGUAAAAAGUUGAAAAAAGUCAAAAAAGGAAAAAUAUUGUUAAUGCUCCAUAAUUAUUAUUCUCAGUUUACAAAUAUUUAAUCUCAUAUUUCAUAACAAAAUAUAAUUGAUGCAUUUAAUUAUUUGCAUACGUUUUCUCAGGAUGAGUAUAAAGAAUGUAGAUGAAGAUUGAUUUUAAAAAAUGAAAUGUGACAAUGCAACUUUAAUAUAUUUUCUCUCUUCGUCAAUAAUCAGGCAUAAUUAAAAUGUGCAAUUUUCAAUCGGGACAAAGAGAUAAUAUUUUAUGGAAAAAAAACAUGUUAUCGUUAAAUAUAGACAAUGAAUGAUGAUUAUUUUGUGAAAAUUUUGUAGCAAAAGUUUGAAAGUAAAAAUGCAAGUUAUCUUAAAAAGCAAAAUGAAAUGUUGCUUUAUAAGAAAGGAGAUGAGUAGCAUUUUGAAGAAGAAGAAAAGUGAAGUAAUGGAGAAGUGAGACCAAAUAUGAAGAGAGAAUACGUAAUAAAUGUUUUAAAAACAAUAUAAUGUAAAUUAACUAAACUACCUUUGAAAUGGAAUUGUGUGAAUAAAAUGAAAUCCGGCUAUGGGAUUUACUAACUUGGAUAAAGAGAUUCUUUAGUCGGAGUAAGUUAGCAUUAGGGAUGACAAAAAACCUGAUUCAUGGAUACUCGUGAAAAUGCUCACAAUAUGUAUUCAUAAUAAUAGCUUAUGAGUUAGAACGAGUUUUAUGAUAUCCGCCUUGCAGGUUCCGCAAAUUUAUAUUUAAUUUUUAAUUAAAUUUAUAUAUAUAUUUAUUAUUAUUUUAAGAUUAUAUAUCAUAUACUUUAUUAUUAUUAUUUCAUAAAAAAUUACACAUAUUUGAUUAUGAUCAUAAAUUUAUCAUAUAAAUAUCAUAUUAUUCAUGUAAUAAUUAUUUUUACAUAUUGAUUAUUACAAUGUAUAUAAGUAUAUAAUUAAAAUUAAAAUUUUGUUGGAUACAUGUAAAUAUUAUAGGAUUAGCAUUAUGCACCAAGACUUUUGGACAAAACUAAACUUCUUAUUUUAGUUGUAAUAGGUUUAGUAAUUAAAGUAUUUUUAUAAUUUCCAUUUUACAAAAAGAAUUGAGUUCACUCAUCCUAACCCUAUUUCCCUCCCCCAUUAACCUUAUCUCAAACAGUUUGGAUCCUGUCAUGUAAUGGAGAGACCAAUACCAGUAUUGGAUUGUGACACAUGACAAUAUUAUAAUUAAGGGUCAAGAUUUUCAAAUGAAUUUUUCAAUUUUAAAUUAAAAUAUUAUGGAAAAUGUUUCUAACCUUUCUCUUCCUCUUCUCCAAAAUCACCUACCACAAAAAACCUUGAAGUUCUCUAUCCUCCAUUAACCUCAUUGAUGUAUGAUAAGUGCCAAAUUGUUAAACAAAAUCAUAUGUUUUGGGGCACUUAGUGCACAUUUAUGAUGUAACUGUGUAAGAUUCCUGAUAACUUAAUAAUCUUGUCCUGUGUAGGAUAUUUUAUAUGUUUAUGUUAUCUCAAGAUAUGAUUUAAGAAAAAAAGGAGAAAAAUAUGAAGAUUGGUACUUCUGAGCACCGCAAGCCUCGCCCAAGCGAGGAGAGGGUCGCCCAAGCCACAAAUAGGAGAAAAAUCACCAGAUAUCAUUGUUGUCAUUCGCCCAAGCGAGGGAAUGUCGCCCAAGCGACAAUUGGACCAAAAAAGGACCUGAUGUUAGGCCUGGUCCUCACCCAAGCGAGAUGCUCAGGUCUGAAAUCCUCUUAUUUACUCGUCCAAGCGAGAAUCUCUAGCUUGGGCGAGGGCUUGGAAGUUGGAACUGAUAUUGGCGGUUUUCAGAAGUCAGAAAGGAGGCUAUUCACUUUUCAGAACACAUUCAGCACGAAAAUAGAGAGAAAAACAAACGGAUUAUGAUAGAAAUCGUGGAAACGAUUCCACUUCACAUUAUUCCUUGUAUAAUUUCAUGAUUUGAGUGUUGUAAUAGCGAGAAGGAGUGAUUAGAUACUGUUGAGGGAUUCGAAAUGUAAUAUUCAAUCCUUUGUACUCCUGGAUUCGAUUCCAUUGUAAUUGUUAUUUGAUUUUGGGAAGUUAAUCUCGUUCUUAAUGCAUAAAUUUAAUUUGCUACUAAUUUCUUGUUCUUGGGUUCAAGUUUAAUUGGGAAGUUAAACUUGACACCGAACCUGGAUCAUCUUCCUUCAUACAUCAUUACUCUAUGAAUGGAGAAUGAUGCAUGAAUUGCUUUUACAUGGAACAUAAUGCUAGUUAAUUAGUCAAAUAUCCAAUGAAUUGUUAUUUGAGCAAUUAUCUAAGGAUUUUACACUCAAGAGAUUGAUUUGAAUGAUAUGUGCAUCUGAAUCAGUAACUUCAUAAUUCACUUGGAAUUGAAUUCAUAGAUAUCAUUGGGAAAUAACGAUGCAUUUUGAUCCCAAUUUAUUUUACUUGUUUUUUUAUUCAAUUUAUGAGUUUUUACAAUUAAACAUAAAAUUUUAUACAAACAUCAUUGCAAAUAUAUACUCAAUUCAUUCUUGUAUGAAUUAGUAUAAAUCCACUCUGCUCCCUGAGGACGAUACCCCCGUACUUUAUUGGAAUUUAUUACUUGUACGAUACGAUGCACUUGUCGUUCCGUAAAUAUCUAACAAUGCCUUCACAGACGUGGCCUUCUCGAUGUAAAACCAUGUGAAAUCAUCACCUGUGUGGUGGGAGUAUAUAACACUGAUGAGAUUAUCAAAUUCUCUCUUCUUUCAUUAACCUCCUCCAUUAAUGUGGUGAGAUAUGACUUCCGUUAAAAUUUGGGGAAGAGAAAGAGAGGGUAAAGUGUUUGUCUUUUCAAAGGCUUGGUUUUUGUCAGACAUAUAUAACUUUUAAGAUUUUGUGACCGUAGGAUGAUUUUAGGGAAGAAGAAGGAGAGAAUGGUUAAAACUUAAAAAAAAUAUUCAUAACUUGCUUUAAUUUAAAAUUAAAUAAAUUUAUUUUAAAAUCUUGGCACUUGAUUAUAAAAUUUUAUAAUGUCACAAUCUUACAUUAAUAUUGGUCUCUCCAUUAUACGAGAGGAUUCAAACUCUUCUAAAUGAUAGAUACCAAGAGUAAUACCCAAGUACAACAUGUUAUAUUUUUUAUCAAUCAGUUGUUAUAUAUGGGAUGUUACUACACCAACUUGCUUCUCCAAUAAAAUUUAUCAUUAUAUUAGUUUCUCAAACAUUAAAUUUCUCAACAACGUCUUUCUAUUAAAAUAUUUUUCGUCAAUCAAUUGUUAUAGUCGAUAUAUUAUUCACCAUUCAUUUAUAUUAUUCGAAAAAUUAAUGAUAAUUGAAAAUGAAUGAUAGAUGAUGGAUCAAUACAUAAAACUUAUACACUAUCGAUAUAUAUAUAUAUAUAAUAUAUAUAUAUCUUUUCCUCUAAAAUUAAUCUUUAAUGUGCAAAUUUGAUGAGCAAUAUCAUUGGACAAUUAUGUUGGUGACACCAUAAUUUUGUAAAAACUAAGUUGGUGGCUAUCAAAAUAAAGAUUUAAAUGACAAAAUCAAAUUUUACGAUUAACAUGUUAAAUACAAUAACUCUUUUAAAAUAUAAGAUGAUUAUUUCUGCAUUAAAUCCAACAUCUAUAUAUUUGGGGGAAAGAGAUGUUUAUCAUAUAAGUAUAGUAAUGGAAAAUAAGACGAUUUUCAUAUUUUAUAAACUCCAUCAUAUAUUUAUAUAAUAUAGUUUUAAUACCUAAUUUUGUCUAACCUAUUUUAAUACAAUGAAAAAGGUAAAGGGGAGGAAGAAAGAAAUUUUUUUGGGUAUUUUUAUGGUUUUAUAAAACCAAUUAUCUUGUACAAAACCAUGAGUUAUAGGGCCAUUUGACUCAUCUUGCUCUAUUAGGGUGUUACCACAUGUUCCUCCCUUCACACCAACACACUUUCGCACCUGCAUCCCUUCUUCACUGCUGUAGUGAGUCACUCUUAUCCCAGAGUCUUUGUAAAAUAAACUUGAAAAACAUAAAACAAAAUCCCCGUUUCACCAAUAAGAAUCUACCACGUGUUCAGUCGCUAUUAUCUUAUCUGAAAGCCAAAGAAGCUAUGGUGUAUGUUCCUCGCAAUCGUAUCCUAUCCAUGAAAUCGAACAAAACACCCCUCUUCUCAUUUCUCAAUCUCUUACACUAAUUUCUCAAUCUCUUGCACUCUUUUCUUUCUCCUCUUUUCUUCCACCAAAAAUGGCUUCACUACAACCAACCACAGCAACACUCCAAUCCAAAUACACCCAAAUCCCUAGAAACCUUCUCACCCAAAAACCCAUCCUCAACCUCUCCCUCUCUACCCCAACCUUCUCUUCUUCCUCCCUCAAACUCACCACCACUCGUCGCUCCAACGGCGGUGCACUCGGCGCCAGAAUGUCCUCCACCGCCGC